UACGUAGGUCCCGAGCGUUAUCCGGAUUUAUUGGGCGUAAAGCGAGCGCAGGCGGUUAGAUAAGUCUGAAGUUAAAGGCUGUGGCUUAACCAUAGUACGCUUUGGAAACUGUUUAACUUGAGUGCAAGAGGGGAGAGUGGAAUUCCAUGUGUAGCGGUGAAAUGCGUAGAUAUAUGGAGGAACACCGGUGGCGAGAGCGGCUCUCUGGCUUGUAACUGACGCUGAGGCUCGAAAGCGUGGGGAGCAAACAGG
This 252-nucleotide ribosomal RNA is filed under the name uncultured bacterium. RNAcentral describes it as "partial 16S ribosomal RNA". It matches the Rfam family "Bacterial small subunit ribosomal RNA", at positions 524 to 776 of the family's 1533-position model. The record is from RNAcentral.